This is an RNA transcript of Jatropha curcas, 1500 nucleotides long. It is a transcript of the gene named calcineurin B-like protein 7, with no coding region annotated. The record is from RefSeq and is a predicted model, not a curated record. NCBI's taxonomy places the organism in Eukaryota, Viridiplantae, Streptophyta, Magnoliopsida, Malpighiales, Euphorbiaceae.
UGUCUCCAUUCAAACCUCAUUGCCCAAAAUGUAAAUGGAAAAGCUGCAAUAUGUCAGAGUUGAAACAAGUUGGCUGACUUGUCUCCGUUCACCAACAAUAAACAAAUGAGAAAGAAGCAAGUCAAUCGGUGAUGAGGAUGAGGCAAAUACAGCUACUGAUCUAAAGAAGAGAACGAAAAGUGAAAAUUAGGAGCUCUUCGUAGCUGGAAGAACAAGAACACUAUCCAGGUUUGCAUAAACACCUUCCGCUUCCUUUUGCAGACAACUGUGUCAAAAUGCGUGCUUUUAAAGGCUGCUUUAGCUUGAGCCAAUCCAGAAAAUCUGGACGUGAGGAUCCUAUCAAACUCGCUUCUGAGACACCAUUCAGUGUCAACGAGGUAGAGGCUUUGUAUGAUCUAUUCAAGAAGCUGAGCAGUAGCAUAAUUAAAGAUAACCUCAUUCACAAGGAAGAAUUCCGACUUGCACUUUUUAGUAACAGCAGUAAGCAUAAUAUUUUUGCAGAAAAGGUAUUUGACCUUUUUGAUGUCAAGCGCAAUGGGGUAAUUGAAUUUGGUGAGUUUGUUCGCUCAUUAAGCAUCUUCCACCCGAAUGCUUCUGAAGCAGAAAAAAUUACAUUUGCAUUUAGAUUGUUUGACCUACGUGACACUGGCUAUAUUGAGCGUGAAGAGGUAAAAACCACAAAACAAAUCUCUGACCUUACAUUUUCAAGGUUAUCACAAAUGCACUUAACAACACAAUAUGAAUCAUUCUUUGGCAUACACUGGAUGCUCAUAGACCAUUUUUGCUUGGAACUUCAAGAUUGUUUAUCUUCAAUCAAUGUGAUUAAGUAGAAAAUGUUGAGGCGAUUGUGAAAGAUAUGACAAACAAGCUUGGUUCAGCAGUCGAAAGCUUAGUGGUCUGCAGUUGGCUUUCAACUUGGCUAAAGCAUUUGCUUACAACAUUGAUAUCCUAUGGCCCCCCUGCUGCAAUGAUCCCUAGUGUGAUUGCUAGGUCAGUUAAUUCAGCUAUCAAUGGAUUGAAGGUAGGAAAGAAAAAUGUUAGCUGUGAAUCAUUAUCACAGAACUUGUUCAAUGCUUUAAAAGAUUGUUCUUCCCUAAAUUAUUGAGGAGGAGAAAAGAAGAAAAAGCUCCAGCUUUGCAGUUGCCAAUUAAGAAAUAGCCUAAGGACUUCAUCUCAUUUGUUCAUCUCCCUCUUAUACUCUGCCCUGUUCAGUUCUGCUUCUUAGCGAUAGUAAUGUCUAUUUGUUGUUUUAACUUGCAUUAUUAUAUGAUAACUAUUUGACGUUUUUAUUUUUUGAUUAAUUCACAAAUCUAAUUUUCAAUCGUUUUGUAAAUGUCUGUGAUGCUGGAAGUUGAAGGAGAUGGUAUUGGCUGUUUUGGCCGAAUCAGAUACAAUACUUUCAAGUGAUGAUAUCGAAACCAUUGUAGAUAAGACAAUGACUCAAGCAGAUUUAAACGGGGAUGGAAAGAUUGAUCAAGAAGAAUGGAGGGAAUUUGUAGC